UACGUAGGUGGCAAGCGUUGUCCGGAAUUACUGGGUGUAAAGGGAGCGUAGGCGGGAUGUCAAGUCAGAAGUGAAAAUUAUGGGCUCAACUCAUAACCUGCUUUUGAAACUGAUAUUCUUGAGUGAAGUAGAGGCAAGCGGAAUUCCUAGUGUAGCGGUGAAAUGCGUAGAUAUUAGGAGGAACACCGGUGGCGAAGGCGGCCUGCUGGACUGUGACUGACGUUGAGGCCCGAAGGCGUGGGGAGCAAACAGG
RNAcentral lists this ribosomal RNA (253 nucleotides) under uncultured Ruminococcus sp. Its description in RNAcentral is "partial 16S ribosomal RNA". It matches the Rfam family "Bacterial small subunit ribosomal RNA", at positions 524 to 776 of the family's 1533-position model. The record is from RNAcentral. Lineage: Bacteria; Bacillati; Bacillota; Clostridia; Eubacteriales; Oscillospiraceae.